Molecule: long non-coding RNA, 452 nt
Organism: Oxyura jamaicensis (ruddy duck)
Lineage: Eukaryota; Metazoa; Chordata; Aves; Anseriformes; Anatidae
Exons: 3
Source: RefSeq, a predicted model, not a curated record
GGGUGCUGCAGCAGUGGCUUCUUGGAGGCCCUGUGAUAUGGCCCCCAGGGGGCAAGCCCUGGAGCAUGCAGGAUUUCUGCCAAGCUCCCCUACGUUAUUCCUGGUGCAAAGCUGCCCUAAAAGGGGCCUGAGCACAUGCAAGGAAGUUAGUGUGGUCAUGUCCAAGUUAUUACUGGAAGAUGCUGUCACUGGGAGUGGGGGCCCUUAAGCGUUCUGCUGAGAAGCUCACAGGCAGCUGAUGGCAGGGCAGGAGGCAGCUACAGUGCAGAAGAGGAGCUGUGGCAGAGGGCAUCCCUUCCCUCCUGGCCGCCGCCAGGUGCGGGUCCCGGUCGCCUCCGCCGCUGCUGCCGCCGCCCCGGGGGGCCGCUGGCUCCGGCGGCGGAGCUCGGCCCGCGCCGCCCCGCCGCGCAUCCCCUCACACACCCCCGGUACCGCCGGGCAGCCCCAGCGGG